GAUGAAGAACGUAGCGAAAUGCGAUAAGUAAUGUGAAUUGCAGAAUUCAGUGAAUCAUCUAAUCUUUGAACGCACAUUGCGCCCGCCAGUAUUCUGGCGGGCAUGCCUGUUCGAGCGUCAUUACAACCCUCAGGCCCCCGGGCCUGGCGUUGGGGAUCGGCGGAGCCCCCCGUGGGCACACGCCGUCCCCCAAAUACAGUGGCGGUCCCGCCGCAGCUUCCAUCGCGUAGUAGCUAACACCUCGCGACUGGAGAGCGGCGCGGCCACGCCGUAAAACACCCAACUCUUCUGAAGUUGACCUCGAAUCAGGUAGGAAUACCCGCUGAACUUAAGCAUAUCAAUAAGCGGAGGA
This 352-nucleotide unclassified non-coding RNA is filed under the name soil metagenome. RNAcentral describes it as "partial contains 5.8S ribosomal RNA, internal transcribed spacer 2, and large subunit ribosomal RNA". The stretch from base 1 to 120 matches the Rfam family "5.8S ribosomal RNA", at positions 35 to 154 of the family's 154-position model. The record is from RNAcentral.